Molecule: ribosomal RNA, 543 nt
Filed under: uncultured bacterium
Lineage: Bacteria
Description: bacterial SSU rRNA
Rfam family: Bacterial small subunit ribosomal RNA
Source: RNAcentral
ACUCCUACGGGAGGCAGCAGUGAGGAAUAUUGGUCAAUGGGCGAGAGCCUGAACCAGCCAUUCCGCGUGAAGGAAGAAGGCCUUAUGGGUUGUAAACUUCUUUUCUGUAAGAAGAAUAGUUCCGACGUGUCGGGAUAUGACGGUAUUAUAGGAAUAAGCAUCGGCUAACUCCGUGCCAGCAGCCGCGGUAAUACGGAGGAUGCAAGCGUUAUCCGGAUUUAUUGGGUUUAAAGGGUGCGCAGGUGGUUUUAUAAGUCAGUGGUGAAAGUCUGGCGCUUAACGUUAGGAUUGCCAUUGAUACUGUAGGACUUGAGUAUGGAUGAGGUAGGCGGAAUGUGUAGUGUAGCGGUGAAAUGCAUAGAUAUUACACAGAACGCCGAUUGCGAAGGCAGCUUACUAAUCCAUGACUGACGCUGAGGCACGAAAGCGUGGGGAUCAAACAGGAUUAGAUACCCUGGUAGUCCACGCUGUAAACGAUGAUCACUCGCUGUUUGCGAUAUACGGUAAGCGGCUGAGCGAAAGCAAUAAGUGAUCCACCUGGGG